Molecule: ribosomal RNA, 303 nt
Filed under: Clostridioides difficile
Lineage: Bacteria; Bacillati; Bacillota; Clostridia; Peptostreptococcales; Peptostreptococcaceae
Description: partial 23S ribosomal RNA
Rfam family: Bacterial large subunit ribosomal RNA
Source: RNAcentral
UAAGGGGAUCUGUUAGAGCAAUCGAAGCAGUGAACUUAAGCCCCAGUAAACGGCGGCCGUAACUAUAACGGUCCUAAGGUAGCGAAAUUCCUUGUCGGGUAAGUUCCGACCCGCACGAAAGGCGUAACGAUUUGGGCACUGUCCCAACAACAGACUCGGUGAAAUUGUAAUUCCGGUGAAGAUGCCGGAUACCUGCGACAGGACGGAAAGACCCCAUGGAGCUUUACUGUAGCUUGACAUUGGGUCUUGGUACUACAUGUACAGGAUAGGUGGGAGGCUUUGAAACCAGGACGCCAGUUUUGG